Molecule: long non-coding RNA, 711 nt
Filed under: Ananas comosus (pineapple)
Lineage: Eukaryota; Viridiplantae; Streptophyta; Magnoliopsida; Poales; Bromeliaceae
Description: long non-coding RNA (ACOM_LNC035403)
Source: RNAcentral
AAUCAUACAACAACGACUAAAGCACAAACAGUGCUGAACAUUACAAGAGCAAGCGUCACGAGUAGUAAACAUGCAAGUGAAACAAAAGAGAGAUACUUAACUAUUCUAUUACAACCAUUCAACUUGAUACAUUUAAUUACAACUUAGCUUUACAUUCAACCAAAGUAUAAACAUUAGUUUACAUUUAUCUCAAAAUACCUCACAUCCUAUACAUCAUCUACUCUCAAUACAUGUAUAGGGUAACUCUAGUGCAAAAUAGGAAAGUAAACUACCAACUAGCAUAGGGCGCUAAGCCCAUACCGCGAUCCUCUGCCGGUCCGCUCUCGUGUGUACCUGUAACCCAAAACCACACGGGGUGAGAACUAUAUGAAUAUAGUUCCCAGCGGGCUCGGCCGCCGACUCCGCCGAUCUUCCCACUAGGUCUAAGCUGGCACAGAUAGAUAGAUAGAAAGAUAUAUGGAAGUAAACUGCUACUAUAUCUACUAUGCCAUCAAUGUAAAAGAUGCAUGGAACAUCAUCUAGCAACAAUCUACUAUCAUGCUAAUAUGCCUCAACAGUGAAAUGAAUACAACUAUAACAUAGUUAUGCAAUGCACUAUGUCUAUUCAUAGUAUGAAUGCAAUCCUCUUAUGUUAUUCAUGUUAUUACCCAAUCCGCUAGGCUAACUCGCCUAAGAUCUCAAAACUAGUAGGUGAAGAGCUAUCUCACUCUU